This 856-nucleotide ribosomal RNA is filed under the name Xenopus laevis (African clawed frog). Its description in RNAcentral is "partial 16S ribosomal RNA". It matches the Rfam family "Bacterial large subunit ribosomal RNA", at positions 1126 to 2545 of the family's 2925-position model. The record is from RNAcentral. Lineage: Eukaryota; Metazoa; Chordata; Amphibia; Anura; Pipidae.
AAGAAAGCGUCAAAGCUCACUCAAUAUAAAACCCUUAAAUUAGUAUAACUUAUUCUAAGCCCUCAAACAAUACUGAGCUGUUCUAUUAACUAUAGAAGCACUUAUGCUAGAACUAGUAAUGUGAAUACACCAUUCUCAUAAUAUGUAAGUGUAAAUCAGAUCGAAUAAAUCACUGAUAAUUAACGGCCUCUCUGAGAUCCCUGCAACAACAAAACAAGAAAACCAUGCACCUUUUACCGUUAAUCUAACACAAGAACAUUACAAGAAAGAUUAAAAGACGCAGAAGGAACUCGGCAAACUAUGAACCCCGCCUGUUUACCAAAAACAUCGCCUCUUGCUAAAAAACAUGUAUAAGAGGUCCAGCCUGCCCAGUGACUAUAAGUUCAACGGCCGCGGUAUUCUGACCGUGCAAAGGUAGCGUAAUCACUUGUCUUUUAAAUAAAGACUGGUAUGAAUGGCACCACGAAGGUUCAACUGUCUCCUGCAUCCAAUCCAUUAAACUGACCUCCCCGUGCAGAGGCGGGGAUACAACCAUAAGACGAGAAGACCCUAUGGAGCUUUAAACUAAAGGCAACUGCCAACUUCAACCUAAUCCGUAAGGAAAAACAAUAAAACAAGCAGAAAUUGACCUAAAGUUUUCGGUUGGGGCGACCACGGAGAAUAAAAAAUCCUCCUUGAAGAAUAGGGCCUACCACCCUUAACCAAGAAUCACUAUUCUAAGUAACAAAAUUUAUGACUACAAUUGAUCCAGUCUAACUGAUCAACGAACCAAGUUACCCUAGGGAUAACAGCGCAAUCCAUUUCAAAAGUUCCUAUCGACAAAUGGGUUUACGACCUCGAUGUUGGAUCAGGGCAU